AACGGACGCUGGCGGCAUGCCUAACACAUGCAAGUCGAACGAGACCUUCGGGUCUAGUGGCGCACGGGUGCGUAACGCGUGGGAACCUGCCCUUAGGUUCGGAAUAACUCCCCGAAAGGGGUGCUAAUACCGGAUAAUGUCUUCGGACCAAAGAUUUAUCGCCUUUGGAUGGGCCCGCGUUGGAUUAGCUAGUUGGUAGGGUAAAAGCCUACCAAGGCGACGAUCCAUAGCUGGUCUGAGAGGAUGAUCAGCCACACUGGGACUGAGACACGGCCCAGACUCCUACGGGAGGCAGCAGUGGGGAAUAUUGGAAAAUGGGGGAAAGCAUGAUCCAGCAAUGCCGCGUGAGUGCUGAAGGCAUUAGGGUUGUAAAGCUCUUUUACCCGGGAUGAUAAUGACAGUACCGGGAGAAUAAGCUCCGGCUAACUCCGUG
Molecule: ribosomal RNA, 433 nt
Filed under: uncultured bacterium
Lineage: Bacteria
Description: partial 16S ribosomal RNA
Rfam family: Bacterial small subunit ribosomal RNA
Source: RNAcentral